RNAcentral lists this ribosomal RNA (497 nucleotides) under uncultured bacterium. Its description in RNAcentral is "partial 16S ribosomal RNA". It matches the Rfam family "Bacterial small subunit ribosomal RNA", at positions 28 to 507 of the family's 1533-position model. The record is from RNAcentral.
GAUGAACGCUGGCGGCGUGCCUAAUACAUGCAAGUCGAGCGAACGGACGAGAAGCUUGCUUCUCUGAUGUUAGCGGCGGACGGGUGAGUAACACGUGGAUAACCUACCUAUAAGACUGGGAUAACUUCGGGAAACCGGAGCUAGUACCGGAUGAUAUUUUGAACCGCAUGGUUCAAAAGUGAAAGACGGUCUUGCUGUCACUUAUAGAUGGAUCCGCGCUGCAUUAGCUAGUUGGUAAGGUAACGGCUUACCAAGGCAACGAUGCAUAGCCGACCUGAGAGGGUGAUCGGCCACACUGGAACUGAGACACGGUCCAGACUCCUACGGGAGGCAGCAGUAGGGAAUCUUCCGCAAUGGGCGAAAGCCUGACGGAGCAACGCCGCGUGAGUGAUGAAGGUCUUCGGAUCGUAAAACUCUGUUAUUAUGGAAGAACAUAUGUGUAAGUAACUGUGCACAUCUUGACGGUACCUAAUCAGAAAGCCACGGCUAACUACGUG